UUGGAGAACCGGUAGUGGAAUAACACCAACAACGUCUCAAAACAGGGGAUUCAAAGGAAUUUCGCAAUGUGCCUAAAUCCUCCUUGCGAAAUUUUCGCAAUGUGAAAUUCACAUUGCGAAAUGGCAAAAUUUCGCACCAUGAAGAAAAUCUCCUUGCGAAAUUGGUCAUUUGACAUGAUGCAGUUGCCUUCCAAAGGCCAUAUCUUCCUCAUUUCAGCUCCAAAUCAUACACGGUUUGAAGCGUUGGAUUCUUGACUUCCUGAGCUUUCAAAUG
Molecule: long non-coding RNA, 274 nt
Filed under: Vitis vinifera (wine grape)
Lineage: Eukaryota; Viridiplantae; Streptophyta; Magnoliopsida; Vitales; Vitaceae
Description: long non-coding RNA (VVIN_LNC007147)
Source: RNAcentral